GGGGACUGUGGCAUAAGACAAGGAAAAGGCAUCCAACUAUGAAUUUUUCAAGUGAUGUGAUUUAUUCAUGUCAAAGAGUAAAAGGCAUGUCAGGCUAUUUGUUUCUUUCUUGCAUUAUACCAUGAGCAAUCUAUGAAUGCUUGUAAAACCAAUUUGCUGAAAAGACCUUCUGUUUGGUUCUCCAUUCAUAAAUUUAUCAAAAUUCUUUUCUUUCAAUCAGGAAAAUAAUUUUGUUGACUACUUUGCUCUUAAGUGCCUCAGUUCUACGCUAACACAACCCCAGAAUUGAUUUAAGAAAAUCAUUUACCACUUGAAACUUUACCUAUCAUCCAAGCAGGUCAAUCAAAGUUUUCACUGAUGAUCAUGUAUGCAUGCCAACAACAAAAUACUUCCAUAAAAUUUCUUUGAAUCCAAGUCAUUCAAAUGCAACUUAUGUUUUAC
This 441-nucleotide unclassified non-coding RNA is filed under the name Hevea brasiliensis (rubber tree). The record is from RNAcentral. Lineage: Eukaryota; Viridiplantae; Streptophyta; Magnoliopsida; Malpighiales; Euphorbiaceae.